AUUGAACGCUGGCGGCAUGCUUUACACAUGCAAGUCGAACGGCAGCGCGGGCUUCGGCCUGGCGGCGAGUGGCGAACGGGUGAGUAAUGCAUCGGAACGUGCCCAGUAGUGGGGGAUAGCCCGGCGAAAGCCGGAUUAAUACCGCAUACGACCUGAGGGUGAAAGCGGGGGACCGAAAGGCCUCGCGCUAUUGGAGCGGCCGAUGUCGGAUUAGCUAGUUGGUGGGGUAAAGGCUUACCAAGGCGACGAUCCGUAGCUGGUCUGAGAGGACGACCAGCCACACUGGGACUGAGACACGGCCCAGACUCCUACGGGAGGCAGCAGUGGGGAAUUUUGGACAAUGGGGGCAACCCUGAUCCAGCCAUGCCGCGUGCGGGAAGAAGGCCUUCGGGUUGUAACCGCUUUUGUUCGGGAAGAAAUCCUCUGGGCUAAUACCCCGGGGGGAUGACGGUACCGGAAGAAUAAGCACCGGCUAACUACGUG
Molecule: ribosomal RNA, 483 nt
Filed under: uncultured bacterium
Lineage: Bacteria
Description: partial 16S ribosomal RNA
Rfam family: Bacterial small subunit ribosomal RNA
Source: RNAcentral